UACGUAGGGGGCUAGCGUUAUUCGGAAUUACUGGGCGUAAAGCGCACGUAGGCGGCUUUGUAAGUAAGAGGUGAAAGCCUGGAGCUCAACUCCAGAACUGCCUUUUAGACUGCAUCGCUUGAAUCCAGGAGAGGUGAGUGGAAUUCCGAGUGUAGAGGUGAAAUUCGUAGAUAUCGGGAGGAACACCAGUGGCGAAGGCGACUGCCUGGCCUGUGCUUGACGCUGAGGCGCGAAAGCUAGGGUAGCAAACGGG
Molecule: ribosomal RNA, 253 nt
Filed under: uncultured bacterium
Lineage: Bacteria
Description: partial 16S ribosomal RNA
Rfam family: Bacterial small subunit ribosomal RNA
Source: RNAcentral